RNAcentral lists this transfer-messenger RNA (254 nucleotides) under Bartonella alsatica. RNAcentral's name for it is "partial ssrA". It matches the Rfam family "Alphaproteobacteria transfer-messenger RNA", at positions 81 to 331 of the family's 355-position model. Rfam says of the family: Bacterial tmRNA, also known as 10Sa RNA or SsrA, is named for its dual tRNA and mRNA-like properties. Its role is to liberate the mRNA from a stalled ribosome. The record is from RNAcentral. Lineage: Bacteria; Pseudomonadati; Pseudomonadota; Alphaproteobacteria; Hyphomicrobiales; Bartonellaceae.
ACUCAUUGGACCCGGGGGCGGUACCCGGCGCCUCCACCAAAAUAUAAUAAACAAAAAUUUAUAUUUUGAUGGGGGCGAAAUAGGAUCGACAAGAGUGUAAAGAUUGCUCUUUUACUCGGUAUAGUACCACCGUUAUCGGACUAAAUGAGUAGUUGCAAAUGACAACUAUGCGGAAGCACGUCUCGCCGCUUGAGUCGGCGUGAAUGCUUCAAAUUAAGUCUUAAACCGUCGCAGGUUUAAGCGGGGUUCGAAGG